CGGGAGGCAGCAGUGGGGAAUAUUGCACAAUGGGCGAAAGCCUGAUGCAGCGACGCCGCGUGAGGGAUGACGGCCUUCGGGUUGUAAACCUCUUUCAGCAGGGAAGAAGCGCAAGUGACGGUACCUGCAGAAGAAGCACCGGCUAACUACGUGCCAGCAGCCGCGGUAAUACGUAGGGUGCGAGCGUUGUCCGGAAUUAUUGGGCGUAAAGAGCUCGUAGGCGGCUUGUCACGUCGGGUGUGAAAGCCCGGGGCUUAACCCCGGGUCUGCAUUCGAUACG
This 280-nucleotide ribosomal RNA is filed under the name uncultured Kitasatospora sp. Its description in RNAcentral is "partial 16S ribosomal RNA". It matches the Rfam family "Bacterial small subunit ribosomal RNA", at positions 342 to 634 of the family's 1533-position model. Lineage: Bacteria; Bacillati; Actinomycetota; Actinomycetes; Kitasatosporales; Streptomycetaceae. The record is from RNAcentral.